ACUCCUACGGGAGGCAGCAGUGGGGAAUAUUGGACAAUGGGCGAAAGCCUGAUCCAGCCAUGCCGCGUGAGUGAUGAAGGCCCUAGGGUUGUAAAGCUCUUUCACCGGUGAAGAUAAUGACGGUAACCGGAGAAGAAGCCCCGGCUAACUUCGUGCCAGCAGCCGCGGUAAUA
Molecule: ribosomal RNA, 173 nt
Filed under: uncultured bacterium
Lineage: Bacteria
Description: partial 16S ribosomal RNA
Rfam family: Bacterial small subunit ribosomal RNA
Source: RNAcentral